CCGCUUCCGGCCCCGGUGAUUCCUGGGUGUUGCGGUCUCCGUGCAGGGCGAGGAGCCGCUUGGGGCUGUCAUCCCCACAGGGCUCAAAGCUGUUCCCGUGUCAUUCAGAGUGCGACCCGGAGACAGAAAGCACCCCGAGUUCUUUCCACUGAGCAAAUGCAAAGAAGAGUCAGGGGUUCCUAGUGACCCAAAGCGGCUUCUACCCCCCAGGGCUGGAAGAACAAAGGAAGCCGCGGACUGAAAAUUUAGAAGGUGGGGGGAGGCUACUGGUGGGCUCUGGGCCUCUGAGGGGCUGGCCAGCUUAGACAUCACCUCCCAAGAGAGGUGGUCCUGAUCCUGGUACCCCACCCCCCAGCAGAGCACCUCACCUUUCCCUUCAGAACACUGUCCAUAGAUAGCCAUGCGGUGCUUGCAUGUCCUGGUGUUUGACCCCAGUCUCUCCACCGGACCCCCCAACGCAGUGAUUAGGCACAUUGUACACCAUUGGGUUAAGUGUCCCCCACUUUGUAGACAGAAUCAUUUCUCAGAGACACUGCACUGGGAGUUCCUGCGCUGGCUGGACUGGGACUCUGCCAUGUAGCUAAACUCUCCUUGAGGGGCUCCUGGGUGGCUCAGUCAGUUGGGCAUCUGCCUUCUGCUCAGGUCAUGAUCCCAGGGUCCUGGGAUCAAGCCCCAUGUCGGGCUCCCUCUCAGCAGGGAGCCUGCUUUUCCUUCUCCCUCUGCACCUCCCCCCACUCAUGCUCUCUCUCCCUUGAAUAAAUAAAAUUGUAAAAAACAAAACAAAACACCCUCUCCUUGAUCUUGAACCUGCUCUUUUCCCAGGACUUUGCUGGAAUAGAGUGAUCCAGGGGGGCGAAGAUUGGCUCCUGGGCAUAGGAGGUGGUGCCCCCUCCUGGGGCUGUGCAGGUGACGGUCAGCCCCCCGGAGAAGGAGCUCAGCUUUAAGCACUCAGACCCUGAGCCCUCUUGUCUGACCUUAGCACUGAGCCCUGCCUUGAACAUGGCCUGGCACCUACUAGGGGCUCAGUAAAUAUGUGUUGAGUGAAUGAAUGGGACCUCACCUCUGUUUCCCAGGACACCAGUCCGCUUGGAGUAAUUAAUUCUCUAGGUCAUCUUUUAGCUGAGAAGGAUGAUACUGACUUAAAAUGUCCCUGCCACGGUACAUUUUAUGUUAUAUGUUUUUACAAUUUAAAAAUGUUUUCACGGAACAACCCUUCCCCCCCUCCCAGGCAGGUAAUAAGGCAUGUGGUGCAGGGGAAGUACAGCUGCUUUGGGGCCGCACUACCUGAGUUUGCACUGAAGUGAUUCCUCCUCCAGGCUGCGUGGGCUUGGGCAAGUCCGAUGACCUCUCUGAACCACCAUUUCCUCACCUGUAAAAUACACCUCAAGUAACCUUAAAGCCCAGCACCCUACAUGGCACAUCGAGGCACUUUAUACAUAUUUGUUUCCUCUUUUUUUUUUUUUUUUAAGAUUUUAUUUAUUUGAGAGAGAGAGAGCCAGAGAGAGCAAGAGCGGGAGGAGGGGCAGAGGGAGGGGAGAAAGAGACUCCCUGCUGAGUGGGGAGCCUGACUCUGAAUUUGAUCCAAGACCUGCAGAGCACGGCCUGAGCUUAAUCUCUUAAAAUGACUCUUAAUCUCUUAAAUGACUAAGCCACCAGGCACCCCUCCCACCCCGAGAGUUUGUUUCCUCUUGUUGUGAGCGCCAAUCACAGCUCAAACAGAGAACAACCCUCUGACUCCCUGAGAGUGGGUCACUGGCCCAGCGCAGGGCUGGAUCAAAGCCAAGGCUGAGAGGCCCGGUUCAUGGGAGAAGGGGGCUGCCUUGGGGGGAACUCCCUUGCUCUAUGAAGCAAAGAGGACACAUGGAUCAGAACCCUUUUCAAACUUGCUGAAGCAAAAUGGGGAAUUUAUCGUCUUACCUAUUGGGAACUACCUUCAGGUCAAGCUGGAUCCAGGGACUCAAAAGACCCUCAUCAGGGUUGUCUUCCUCAUCAACCCAGUGACUGGGCAGUAGGGCGUAGUGACUCACAGGCCCCUGAAGGCAGGGCAGUGUUGGUGACUAUGAUUGAUAGCCCCACUGAAUCAGCUCCCAGGGGAGAAGCCUUGACGUUACCAGAAGAAUGAAUACAUGUAAGAUGAGCAGUAAACCUUACUAUCUGCCACACA
Molecule: long non-coding RNA, 2164 nt
Organism: Mustela lutreola (European mink)
Lineage: Eukaryota; Metazoa; Chordata; Mammalia; Carnivora; Mustelidae
Exons: 2
Source: RefSeq, a predicted model, not a curated record